This 253-nucleotide ribosomal RNA is filed under the name uncultured prokaryote. RNAcentral's name for it is "partial 16S ribosomal RNA". It matches the Rfam family "Bacterial small subunit ribosomal RNA", at positions 524 to 776 of the family's 1533-position model. The record is from RNAcentral.
UACGUAGGUGGCAAGCGUUGUCCGGAUUUAUUGGGUUUAAAGGGUGCGUAGGCGGCCUUGUAAGUCAGUGCUGAAAUACCCCGGCUUAACCGGGGGGGUGGCAUUGAUACUGCAGGGCUUGAGUACAGAUGAGGUAGGCGGAAUUGACGGUGUAGCGGUGAAAUGCAUAGAUAUCAAGAGGAACACCUGAGGUGAAGACGGGUUGCUGGGCUGACACUGACGCUGAGGCGCGAAAGCCAGGGGAGCAAACGGG